RNAcentral lists this long non-coding RNA (300 nucleotides) under Brassica napus (rape). RNAcentral's name for it is "long non-coding RNA (BNAP_LNC009920)". Lineage: Eukaryota; Viridiplantae; Streptophyta; Magnoliopsida; Brassicales; Brassicaceae. The record is from RNAcentral.
GCUGCCUUCAGCGCGUUUUGAAUAGGUUUUUGGCGUGUAGUUGUUUGGUGGCCGUCCGUCCGAAUAAUAAUGCUUGAUUUUGUUGUUGUGGGGGGUGCUAGGCUUCUUGCUUGGAUGUCUUUGUGUAGGCAGAUGCUAAGGAAGUCUUCUUCGAGCUGUUUUGGCCGGGUCAAGUUUUAAAGAGCGGAUCAUCGAAGAGGUCAAAAUUAAUAGAUUCUUUUAUUGUGGCUGAACUUUUUGUGGCAAACGGUAAGUGGGGAUUGGUUGAGGCCUUUCACUAGCGCUUCAGUUGGUUGUGUA